AUUGAACGCUGGCGGCAGGCCUAACACAUGCAAGUCGAACGGUAACAGGAAGAAGCUUGCUUCUUUGCUGUCGAGUGGCGGACGGGUGAGUAAUGUCUGGGAAACUGCCUGAUGGAGGGGGAUAACUACUGGAAACGGUAGCUAAUACCGCAUAACGUCGCAAGACCAAAGAGGGGGACCUUCGGGCCUCUUGCCAUCGGAUGUGCCCAGAUGGGAUUAGCUAGUAGGUGGGGUAACGGCUCACCUAGGCGACGAUCCCUAGCUGGUCUGAGAGGAUGACCAGCCACACUGGAACUGAGACACGGUCCAGACUCCUACGGGAGGCAGCAGUGGGGAAUAUUGCACAAUGGGCGCAAGCCUGAUGCAGCCAUGCCGCGUGUAUGAAGAAGGCCUUCGGGUUGUAAAGUACUUUCAGCGGGGAGGAAGGGAGUAAAGUUAAUACCUGUGCUCAUUGACGUUACCCGCAGAAGAAGCACCGGCUAACUCCGUG
RNAcentral lists this ribosomal RNA (490 nucleotides) under uncultured bacterium. Its description in RNAcentral is "partial 16S ribosomal RNA". It matches the Rfam family "Bacterial small subunit ribosomal RNA", at positions 30 to 507 of the family's 1533-position model. The record is from RNAcentral.